GCGCGCGCAGGCGGUUCCUUAAGUCUGAUGUGAAAGCCCCCGGCUCAACCGGGGAGGGUCAUUGGAAACUGGGGAACUUGAGUGCAGAAGAGAAGAGUGGAAUUCCACGUGUAGCGGUGAAAUGCGUAGAGAUGUGGAGGAACACCAGUGGCGAAGGCGACUCUUUGGUCUGUAACUGACGCUGAGGCGCGAAAGCGUGGGGAGCACACAGGAUUAGAUACCCUGGUAGUCCACGCCGUGAACGAUGAGUGCUAAGUGUUAGAGGGGUUCCGCCCUUUAGUGCUGCAGCGAACGC
RNAcentral lists this ribosomal RNA (295 nucleotides) under Cytobacillus firmus. RNAcentral's name for it is "Bacillus firmus partial 16S ribosomal RNA". It matches the Rfam family "Bacterial small subunit ribosomal RNA", at positions 565 to 858 of the family's 1533-position model. Lineage: Bacteria; Bacillati; Bacillota; Bacilli; Caryophanales; Bacillaceae. The record is from RNAcentral.